RNAcentral lists this ribosomal RNA (506 nucleotides) under uncultured bacterium. RNAcentral's name for it is "partial 16S ribosomal RNA". It matches the Rfam family "Bacterial small subunit ribosomal RNA", at positions 30 to 523 of the family's 1533-position model. The record is from RNAcentral.
AUUGAACGCUGGCGGCAUGCCUAACACAUGCAAGUCGAACGGUAGCAUGACUUAGCUUGCUAAGUUGAUGACGAGUGGCGAACGGGUGAGUAACGCGUAGGAAUAUGCCUUAAAGUGGGGGACAACUUGGGGAAACUCAAGCUAAUACCGCAUAAUGUCUAAGGACAAAGGCUGGGGACCUUCGGGCCUGGCGCUUUAAGAUUAGCCUGCGUACGAUUAGCUAGUUGGUGGGGUAAGGGCCUACCAAGGCGACGAUCGUUAGCUGGUCUGAGAGGAUGGCCAGCCACACUGGAACUGAGACACGGUCCAGACGCCUACGGGCGGCAGCAGUGGGGAAUAUUGGACAAUGGGGGCAACCCUGAUCCAGCAAUGCCGCGUGUGUGAAGAAGGCCUGAGGGUUGUAAAGCACUUUCAGUGGGGAGGAGGAUUGAUAGGUUAAGAGCUGAUUGAUUGGACGUUACCCACAGAAGAAGCACAGGCUAACUCCGUGCCAGCCGCCGCCGUAA